This 253-nucleotide ribosomal RNA is filed under the name uncultured bacterium. RNAcentral's name for it is "partial 16S ribosomal RNA". It matches the Rfam family "Bacterial small subunit ribosomal RNA", at positions 524 to 776 of the family's 1533-position model. The record is from RNAcentral.
UACGUAGGGUCCGAGCGUUGUCCGGAAUUAUUGGGCGUAAAGGGCUCGUAGGCGGUUUGUCACGUCGGGCGUGAAAACUCAGGGCUCAACCCUGAGCGUGCGUUCGAUACGGGCAGACUAGAGGUAUGCAGGGGAGAACGGAAUUCCUGGUGUAGCGGUGGAAUGCGCAGAUAUCAGGAGGAACACCGGUGGCGAAGGCGGGUCUCUGGGCAGUAACUGACGCUGAGGAGCGAAAGCGUGGGGAGCGAACAGG